RNAcentral lists this ribosomal RNA (440 nucleotides) under uncultured bacterium. RNAcentral's name for it is "partial 16S ribosomal RNA". It matches the Rfam family "Bacterial small subunit ribosomal RNA", at positions 338 to 795 of the family's 1533-position model. The record is from RNAcentral.
CCUACGGGAGGCAGCAGUGGGGAAUAUUGCGCAAUGGGGGAAACCCUGAUGCAGCGACGCCGCGUGAGUGAAGAAGUAUUUCGGUAUGUAAAGCUCUAUCAGCAGGGAAGAAAAUGACGGUACCUGAUUAAGAAGCCCCGGCUAACUACGUGCCAGCAGCCGCGGUUAUACGUAGGGUGCAAGCGGUAUCCGGAUUUACUGGGUGGAAAGGGAGCGUAGACGGCAGCACAAGUCUGGAGUGAAAUGCCGGUGCUUAAACCCUGAACUGCUUUGGAAACUGUGCAGCUAGAGUGCAGGAGAGGUAAGUGGAAUUCCUAGUGUAGCGGUGAGAUGCGUAGAUAUUAGGAGGAACACCAGUGGCGAAGGCGGCUUACUGGACUGUAACUGACGUUGAGGCUCGAAAGCGUGGGGAGCAAACAGGAUUAGAUACCCUGGUAGUC